RNAcentral lists this long non-coding RNA (211 nucleotides) under Lathyrus oleraceus (garden pea). RNAcentral's name for it is "Pisum sativum (pea) long non-coding RNA (PSAT_LNC002222)". The record is from RNAcentral. Lineage: Eukaryota; Viridiplantae; Streptophyta; Magnoliopsida; Fabales; Fabaceae.
UGAAAUAAAAAUACGACGGUGUAAGAACCGAAAAAAUAAAAAGAUGAUGGUUUAAGAACCGAAAAAUAAAAAGACGACAGUGUAAAAACAAGAAAAUAAAAUGACAAAUUGUGUACAAACCGAAAAAUAAAAAGAGGGCAGUGUAAGAACCAGAAAAUAAAAAUAAAAACGGUGUAAGAACCGGAAAAUAAAAAGACGACGGUAUAAGAAC